GUAGGUGAACCUGCGGAAGGAUCAUUAUCGAGAGUGGAGCCGAGCUCCGAAGGGGGGCCAACCGCCCCCCGACUCUUCACCCAUUGUGAACUUUGCCGUGUUGCUUUGGCGAAAACGCGGAAGCAUUUUCGCCAGAGACCCCAAUCAACGCUGUUUUCGAGUGGUCCGAGUACGUUAUCAAUUAUUAAAAACUUUCAACAACGGAUCUCUUGGUUCUGGCAUCGAUGAAGAACGCAGCAUCUGACUGACU
This 250-nucleotide unclassified non-coding RNA is filed under the name plant metagenome. RNAcentral describes it as "partial contains small subunit ribosomal RNA, internal transcribed spacer 1, and 5.8S ribosomal RNA". The record is from RNAcentral.